Molecule: ribosomal RNA, 771 nt
Filed under: uncultured bacterium
Lineage: Bacteria
Description: bacterial SSU rRNA
Rfam family: Bacterial small subunit ribosomal RNA
Source: RNAcentral
AGAGUUUGAUCCUGGCUCAGGACGAACGCUGGCGGCGUGCUUAACACAUGCAAGUCGAACGGAAAGGCCCUUCGGGGUACUCGAGUGGCGAACGGGUGAGUGACACGUGGGUGAUCUGCCCUGCACUUUGGGAUAAGCCUGGGAAACUGGGUCUAAUACCGAAUAUGACCAUGCACUUCCUGGUGUGUGGUGGAAAGCUUUUGCGGUGUGGGAUGGGCCCGCGGCCUAUCAGCUUGUUGGUGGGGUAAUGGCCUACCAAGGCGACGACGGGUAGCCGGCCUGAGAGGGUGACCGGCCACACUGGGACUGAGAUACGGCCCAGACUCCUACGGGAGGCAGCAGUGGGGAAUAUUGCACAAUGGGCGCAAGCCUGAUGCAGCGACGCCGCGUGAGGGAUGACGGCCUUCGGGUUGUAAACCUCUUUCAGCACAGACGAAGCGCAAGUGACGGUAUGUGCAGAAGAAGGACUGGCCAACUACGUGCCAGCAGCCGCGGUAAUACGUAGGGUCCGAGCGUUGUCCGGAAUUACUGGGCGUAAAGAGCUCGUAGGUGGUUUGUCGCGUUGUUCGUGAAAACUCACAGCUUAACUGUGGGCGUGCGGGCGAUACGGGCAGACUUGAGUACUGCAGGGGAGACUGGAAUUCCUGGUGUAGCGGUGGAAUGCGCAGAUAUCAGGAGGAACACCGGUGGCGAAGGCGGGUCUCUGGGCAGUAACUGACGCUGAGGAGCGAAAGCGUGGGGAGCGAACAGGAUUAGAUACCCUGGUAGUCC